This 253-nucleotide ribosomal RNA is filed under the name uncultured bacterium. RNAcentral's name for it is "partial 16S ribosomal RNA". It matches the Rfam family "Bacterial small subunit ribosomal RNA", at positions 524 to 776 of the family's 1533-position model. The record is from RNAcentral.
UACGUAGGUGGCGAGCGUUGUCCGGAUUUACUGGGCAUAAAGGGAGCGUAGGCGGACUUUUAAGUGAGAUGUGAAAUACUCGGGCUCAACUUGAGUGCUGCAUUUCAAACUGGAAGUCUAGAGUGCAGGAGAGGAGAAUGGAAUUCCUAGUGUAGCGGUGAAAUGCGUAGAGAUUAGGAAGAACAUCAGUGGCGAAGGCGAUUCUCUGGACUGUAACUGACGCUGAGGCUCGAAAGCGUGGGGAGCAAACAGG